Molecule: ribosomal RNA, 446 nt
Filed under: uncultured bacterium
Lineage: Bacteria
Description: partial 16S ribosomal RNA
Rfam family: Bacterial small subunit ribosomal RNA
Source: RNAcentral
CCUACGGGGGGCAGCAGUCGAGAAUCAUUCACAAUGGGGGAAACCCUGAUGGUGCGACGCCGCGUGGGGGAAUGAAGGUCUUCGGAUUGUAAACCCCUGUCAUGUGGGAGAAAAUUAAAAAGAUAGUACCACAAGGGGAAGAGACGGCUAACUCUGUGCCAGCAGCCGCGGUAAUACAGAGGUCUCAAGCGUUGUUCGGAAUCACUGGGCGUAAGGCGUGCGUAGGCUGUUUCGUAAGUCGUGUGUGAAAGGCGCGGGCUCAACCCGCGGACGGCACAUGAUACUGCGAGACUAGAGUAAUGGAGGGGGAACCGGAAUUCUCGGUGUAGCAGUGAAAUGCGUAGAUAUCGAGAGGAACACUCGUGGCGAAGGCGGGUUCCUGGACAUUAACUGACGCUGAGGCACGAAGGCCAGGGGAGCGAAAGGGAUUAGAUACCCUAGUAGUC